Vicugna pacos (alpaca) is the source of this 3599-nucleotide non-coding RNA. The record is from RefSeq and is a predicted model, not a curated record. NCBI's taxonomy places the organism in Eukaryota, Metazoa, Chordata, Mammalia, Artiodactyla, Camelidae.
GGGAAAGGGCAGUAGACAGGUCUCCAGCUGCAGCUGGGAAGGGUUGGCCGCCCCCUUCCCCUCCUGGCCCUGACCCUUCCCAAGCCUCUGGCUGUCCAGAGCGUCUCUCAAACGUCUCUCGGGCUGCUGGCGAGCCCAGUGUAGCUCUCAUCUCUUCCCUGCAGCCUCCACCCAGGCCUGGGUCCUCUCUGACAUUUUGGCCCUUCAAGGUGAGCUAAGGGGUUUGAUGGCCUGCCUGUCGGAUCUCUCCAUAACAACCAGGCAAACGAGACAGUCACUGCUCAGAGCACCUUGGCAGGAAGCCGCUUCUCAGCAACCCGGGGAUGGAGAGGGGACCAGCCCCCCGUCCCUCCCCACCGAGGCUGCACGACAGCAGGGACACUUUCCCUUAUUCCAAGAACAAGGAGGGUGUCAUGACACUCGGCAGUCUUGUUGCCUGGACCCAACAGCCAUUGGAAAUGACUGAAAAUGCUCUAGAGAGUCUGGUGGCAGGGGCCCUGGCCUCUUCCUCAAGAGGGUUCGAGUCCUGCCCAGGGGCCUCACGGAGAGAGAUCUGUGAGGUGUCUGGCUCCUCUGUGGCCUCGAGGCUUUCAGAGGCACAGGAAGUUAGAUCCGGAAGGGCCCAGGUUCCUGAAAUGGCCACCAGAAUUGCCCGGAGGCGCCCUGGUACUAAGAGCCUGGGCCCCACCCCAGAGCUGGCAGUCACCUCUCCCAGAGUGCGACCCGGAAAUCUGUAUUUCACCAGUUCCACAGGUGAUUUUGCGACAGAGCAAAGCCCCUGACUUGUGUCCUGACUUGGACGGCUGAUCUAGCUUUGUCCCCGCCUGCAUGUCACAGAUGGGGAGAGGAAGGUGGGUGUGACAGGGCAGGUCAUGUCCACGUGCCGGGGGCCUGCAGAGCUGGUUCUGGGAAGGUGACUGAGUGCUGUGCAGUGUGACACUGACCACACAGAGGGCACCCAGCCUGGGGGCCUGGGGGGAGUCAGAGCACCACCCAGAGGCCCACCUGAAGGGCUGGUAGGGGAUGGGGGGGUGGGACGUGUGAGAUGUGCUGGUCACACAGGGUGCAGGUGGGGCCGAAGCAUACAAUGGGGACAAAAGGCCCAAGAACAGUAUCAACCUGCCAAAGACGGGGGGGUCUUGGCUCCACUAAGGGUUAAUGCGAGGCUUACCUGGUGGGUUGGGGAAACAGGAGGGACUCUCCUGAGACAGAACUGGGGCCAUGGCCACAGAGGAGUCAAGAGGUUUUGAAUGGGAGUUGGCACAGGAGAGGAAGAGGGUGACUGAAUAACCAAAGGCCUUCCUCCUCCAGGCGAGAAGGGGAGCUGACAACAGUGGCUCAGGCUGAGCUGGGGGGUAUGGUGUUGAAAACAAAAGGAAAGGAACGAAGCCAGGAGGCAACUGGGCAUCUGUCUUCAGAGUAUGCAGUCUUCAGAGUAUGCAGUAUGUGACAUGUGCACAAAUCAGCCCUGCUCCCCAAAUCUCAGGAAUAAUCUAGCCUGGUGGUUCCCGACCUGCUAAUAGUGAGAGCGGUGAUAGUGAGGGUGGCGAUAAGACCUGAUACUUGAUUCGUGCUUUCCACAUGCCAGGCUGUCAACUGUGUGCUUUCUCUGUAUUAUCUCAUUUAAUCCUCACCCGAAUCCUAGAGAUGGCUUUUAUCAUGGCUCCCAUUUUGUAGAUGAAGAAACUGAGGCUUAGAGAGUUAAGAGACUAGUGCAACUUACUGUUAUCUGUGGUUGAGCCAAGAUUUGAAUCUGAAUGUCUGGCCUCUGAGCCUCUGUUCUUAACAGUCACGUAAUCUCCCCCUCCCUCUGCACCGUGCGCCCUGUAUUUUAAAAGAUUUUUGUCUACCAAACAAACUACAUUUAUCAAGUAAUAAUUUGUUUUCCCAUUUUUUAUUAAUCAAAGCCAUGUAUGACUGCCAAUCAGGGGUUCAGAUCAGCGUGAGAUUAGCAGUGUUAUCACACUGAGUUGAUAUAAUUCCAGCCAAAAGCAAAGAAAUGAUGUCUCAGUUAGCAGUCUGUGCAGCCUUAUCUUUGGUAAGUGUGUCGUUUCUGCUAGGCAUACAGGAAUAUUAAAAACAGCUCCUGAGUCACCAUUACUACCUGUGGGAACCUGUGGGGGUCUGAAGACUGCAGACUGGGGCCAGUGGUCUAGAUCUUCCAGACCCUUCUUAUCUGCGCUGCUCAGGCCUCUGCGUCUCUGUGACCUGUUCAGGUAGCUUUCCUCCACAGAGCGGGCCGGAGACCCCCCUCUGUCCCCAAGCACCACCGCUGCCAGGGACAGAGUGAGCAGUGUGACGCCCCCUCCUGUCCUCCAGUGCACGCAGACACACACACAUGCACACACAUGAACUCAUGGACACAGCUGUGCGCGCAUCACGACCACUGCACCACCACCGCCACCAUCAGGAAUGCGGUCUUGCAGAUGGCCUCUUUCCCCAGAUCGUUCCCUGAUCCCUACUCGCUCCUGCAGACAGACACACGCACGCGCCAACACCACCCAUCUUCCUUUCCAACAGAGGGAAGUUCAGUCUUAGUCUAAAAUGUACAACGUUCUAAUCUCGCAUCACCAGAAAUGUACAAAAGCAUUAACACAUGUAAGUGCGGAGGCUAAUUCCUGACUAUAUGGAGUCUGAAUUCUGUUUUUCACACCAUGAAUCUGGCACAGCGAACCCCUAAGCAUCAUUCAUUUCCUGAAAAUAUAUUUAAUACUUAGCAUUUGUCAGGCGUUGUUAGAGCCUAAGGAUUUAUUGCAAACCAGGACCAGGCCAGCCAGGCAAAAAGGAUGUCUCCCGACAGCUCAGAUGCCAGGCUGAGUCACAGGAACCCCGGGCUGAGGGCCGGAAAGCCUGGGACCACCCAGGAAUGAAGGAGGGACCACCGCGGUUCCUGGUGAGAGUCAGCAGUGUUAGAGGCAAGGGGCCUUUUAGGAAGGCCUUUCAGGUUGAUGCCCGGAUUUCCUACCCUUUGCUGCCCUCUGAGCCUCCCCAGUGAGCCAGAGUUCCAGUGGUCUCCUUGUCGAUAGUUCUCACCUGGGAUGAUUACUGGUAACAAAGUGUCUCUGCAUCGGGCCACGGCUGCCUGGGGCCAUUGGUGGAAGGGUCAUGCCGGGGAUGCUAACAGGACAGUAGGGGCCAGAAGCUGCGAGCCAGCAGCCGGGUUUGGAUAGAAAUCCUCCCCCUGCUCGUCACUGUGGGUGCGGGCCCGACCUGUCAGCAUGAGGGACAUGGGAAUCACAAGUUCCCCUUCUGUGUCAUCACAGGGACAUACAGGCUGCAGGUAUCACCUGCUUUAGAGCUAAUAAAGUGUUUCAUAGACAGAAUCAAAUGCAAAUCUCUAGCAAGCCUGCAAAGCAGGCUGGACAGGCAUCAAUGUCCCCAUUUCCCAGAUGUGGCUCAGAGAGGGCAAGCAAAUCACUUAUGGCACACAGCUAGUGAAUGCAGAGAGGAAACUGGGACCCCACUCUGUUCUCUUUCCUGUACACCCAGUGAUGUCAGUUCAUGACAGAGCAGUUCCUGAUAGCUGAGGGGACACACAUUAGCCAGCAUAUCAGCCAGAGUCUGGGGGCUCGUAUUAGUUUCCAAAGGCUGCAGUAACA